Molecule: long non-coding RNA, 226 nt
Organism: Monopterus albus (swamp eel)
Lineage: Eukaryota; Metazoa; Chordata; Actinopteri; Synbranchiformes; Synbranchidae
Exons: 3
Source: RefSeq, a predicted model, not a curated record
CCCUGGGAGAUGAAGAUCAAGGAAGUGGAAAGUCACUUUGGGUCAUCUGUGGCAUCCUACUUUAUUUUUUUGAGGUGGAUGUAUGGUCUGAAUAUGGUUCUGUUUGCGUUACAGUUUGGCCUGGUGGUGAUACCUGAGAUCCUUAUGGGUCUGCCCAAUGGCUCCAUUCCUAGGAAAACUGUUCCCCGAGAGGAACAGGACACAGCCAUGAACAUCGAUGUACUCU